UACGUAGGGUCCGAGCGUUGUCCGGAAUUACUGGGCGUAAAGAGCUCGUAGGUGGUUUGUCGCGUUGUUCGUGAAAACUCACAGCUUAACUGUGGGCGUGCGGACGAUACGGGCAGACUUGAGUACUGCAGGGGAGACUGGAAUUCCUGGUGUAGCGGUGGAAUGCGCAGAUAUCAGGAGGAACACCGGUGGCGAAGGCGGGUCUCUGGGCAGUAACUGACGCUGAGGAGCGAAAGCGUGGGGAGCAAACAGG
This 253-nucleotide ribosomal RNA is filed under the name uncultured bacterium. Its description in RNAcentral is "partial 16S ribosomal RNA". It matches the Rfam family "Bacterial small subunit ribosomal RNA", at positions 524 to 776 of the family's 1533-position model. The record is from RNAcentral.